This 405-nucleotide ribosomal RNA is filed under the name uncultured bacterium. Its description in RNAcentral is "partial 16S ribosomal RNA". It matches the Rfam family "Bacterial small subunit ribosomal RNA", at positions 29 to 525 of the family's 1533-position model. The record is from RNAcentral.
AUUGAACGCUGGCGGCAGGCUUAACACAUGCAAGUCGAGCGAGCGGCGGACGGGUGAGUAAUGUCUGGGAAACUGCCUGAUGGAGGGGGAUAACUACUGGAAACGGUAGCUAAUACCGCAUACCAUCAGAUGUGCCCAGAUGGGAUUAGCUGGUAGGUGGGGGAACGGCUCACCUAGGCGACGAUCCCUAGCUGGUCUGAGAGGAUGACAGGCAAAACUGGAACAGAGACACGGCGCAGACUCCAACGCGAAGCAGCAGUGGGGAAAAAUGCCCACUGUACGCGAGCCUGAGGCAACCGUGCCGUGGGUGAGAAGAAGGCCUUCGGGUUGUAAAGCACUUGCAGCGAGGAGGCGUUACUCGCAGAAGAAGCACCGGCUAACUCCGUGCCAGCAGCCGCGGUAAUU